Molecule: ribosomal RNA, 381 nt
Filed under: uncultured diatom
Lineage: Eukaryota; Bacillariophyta
Description: bacterial SSU rRNA
Rfam family: Bacterial small subunit ribosomal RNA
Source: RNAcentral
CCGCGUGAGGGAUGAAGGAUUUUGCUCUGUAAACCUCUUUUCUCAAGAAAGAAGUUCUGACGGUACUUGAGGAAUAAGCAUCGGCUAACUCCGUGCCAGCAGCCGCGGUAAUACGGGGGAUGCAAGCGUUAUCCGGAAUCAUUGGGCGUAAAGCGCCUGUAGGUUGUUUAGUAAGUCUGUUGUUAAAGACCAGGGCUUAACCCUGGGAAAGCAAUGGAAACUACUAGACUUGAGUAUGGCAGGGGUAGAGGGAAUUUCUAGUGUAGCGGUGAAAUGCGUAGAUAUUAGAAAGAACACCGGCGGCGAAAGCGCUCUACUGGACCAUUACUGACACUCAGAGGCGAAAGCUAGGGGGAGCAAAAGGGGAUUAGAUACCCCCGU